GCAAAACAGAGGAAAUGUCAAAUCAGUGGGGCUGAUACAUUCUUUAUCUGUGGUCAUUGUCCCAAUGAGCAAGAGUGUAUCAGCUAGAUCCAGGGCUAACAUGUCCCUGUGUAGAGAAGCUCUUCAUGGUUAAGCAGUGCUUUGGGGAUUCAAUGCAGUUUGACACCAUUUUAACUACAAUUCUCCAAUACUAUGGAAUCAUGGCAGAACUUCCCCAAAUUUCAAAAGAUCUUCACAAAUGGGAUGAAUCACCUUUGAAGUUGAAGGUCAUGACCCAGGAAGAGAUGGAGGGAUAGUGGAGCUGUACAACUUGGUUUUUAGAUGAUGCCACCAAGAACAUUUUGCCUUCUUUUACCAUUAUCUGCAGUUUCAUGGAGAUGGACUUCUGGCACUCAGUGAUCACCUGGUUAAUGGAGUGAAAGUGACAAGAUGCUUAUGUGAAAAUGAAGCUGCAUUUUAUGAUCAGUAUCAACUCACAUAAUGCUAAUAAGCUGCAUUUUAAGGUCAGCUAGAUAUCCAUUGAGUAUAUCAGUUUUCAUUCAAUGUAUGGGGCCUGAAAUACACAUACAUUUGUA
Anolis carolinensis (green anole) is the source of this 575-nucleotide long non-coding RNA. RefSeq lists it as uncharacterized. Lineage: Eukaryota; Metazoa; Chordata; Lepidosauria; Squamata; Anolidae. The transcript is spliced from 3 exons. The record is from RefSeq and is a predicted model, not a curated record.